This 732-nucleotide ribosomal RNA is filed under the name uncultured marine eukaryote. RNAcentral describes it as "SSU rRNA". It matches the Rfam family "Eukaryotic small subunit ribosomal RNA", at positions 452 to 1185 of the family's 1831-position model. The record is from RNAcentral.
UUACCCAGGGAAGUAGUGACAAUUAAUUACCAUGCCCGGCCUUUUUGAGUCUGGCAAUUGGAAUGAGAACAAUCUAAAUCCCUUAUCGAGUAUCAAUUGGAGGGCAAGUCUGGUGCCAGCAGCCGCGGUAAUUCCAGCUCCAAUAGCGUAUACUAAAGUUGUUGCGGUUAAAAAGCUCGUAGUUGGAUCUUGGAGCAUGUCGAACGGUCGUGCCUCUGGUAUGAACUGCUCGACGUGUUCUUCUAUUUGGUUGCGCGUGUGUGUUCUCUUAAUUGAGUGCCGCACUCGACCGAAACGUUUACCUUGAAAAAAUUAGAGUGUUCAAAGCAGACCUGUUUGUGUCUGAAUAUUCGUGCAUGGAAUAAUGAAAUAUGAACUCGGUUCUAUUUUGUUGGUUUUCGGAACUCGAGUUAAUGAUUAAGAGGGACGGACGGGGGUAUUAGUACUCUGCCGUUAGAGGUGAAAUUCUUGGAUCGGCGGAAGACUAACAACUGCGAAAGCAUUUGCCAAGAAUGUUUUCUUUAAUCAAGAACGAUAGUCGGAGGUUCGAAGACGAUCAGAUGCCGUCCUAGUUUCGACUGUAAACUAUGCCAGCUAACGAUCAGACAGCGUUCUCUACGACUUGUCUGGCAGUUUCCGGGAAACCAAAGCUUUUGGGUUCCGGGGGAAGUAUGGUUGCAAAGCUGAAACUUAAAGGAAUUGACGGAAGGGCACCACCAGGAGUGGAGCCUG